UACGUAGGUGGCAAGCGUUGUCCGGAUUUACUGGGCGUAAAGCGUAUGCAGGCGGACUUUUAAGUAGGAAGUGAAAGGUUGGAGCUCAACUCUAACACUGCUCCCUAUACUGGAAGUCUUGAGUGCCGGAGAGGAAGACGGAACUGCACGUGUAGCGGUGAAAUGCGUUGAGAUGUGCAGGAACACCAAUGGCGAAAGCAGUCUUCUGGACGGAUACUGACGCUGAGAUACGAAAGCCAAGGGAGCGAACAGG
RNAcentral lists this ribosomal RNA (253 nucleotides) under uncultured bacterium. RNAcentral describes it as "partial 16S ribosomal RNA". It matches the Rfam family "Bacterial small subunit ribosomal RNA", at positions 524 to 776 of the family's 1533-position model. RNAcentral also lists the same sequence under 1 other name. The record is from RNAcentral.